RNAcentral lists this long non-coding RNA (521 nucleotides) under Homo sapiens (human). RNAcentral's name for it is "non-protein coding lnc-HIST1H3A-4:1". The record is from RNAcentral. Lineage: Eukaryota; Metazoa; Chordata; Mammalia; Primates; Hominidae.
AGGCAUGAACCACCAUCUCCGGCCUGAAGUUUAUUUAAUCCAUUGCCUUGUGGACUGGGCAUUGAAGUUGUGUGUAGUUGGGUUUUUUUGUUGUUGUUGCUGUUGCAGACAAUACUACUGUGAACAUUCUUAUCCAUGCUUCCUUGUGUCCCGUAAAUGUUCCCUCCAGGGAGAUACCUUGGAGUGACAUGCUGGUGUGAGGGAUGCAUAUCAUAAUUUUACCAGAUACUACAGAUCUUGAAAUUGUUCCAAUUCUACCCCACAAGCAAUAUAAGAGCUCUCACUCCUCCAAAACUCCCUGAGUCUUUACUUAUAUAAUUUAUGAUUUUGACAGUCUUACAGAUUUAAAAUGGUACCUAAUUGUGUACUUAAUUUGUGCUUUUCUGAUUUCACUAGUGAGAUUGAGAUUCUUUUUGUAUGUCCAUUAGCCCUUCAGGCCUCUGUGAUUUACCCAUGAUUUACUGUGGUUUAAUAAUUUUUAUUGGGUUCUUUUCCUUAUUGAUUUAUGGGAACUUAUUAUA